This 440-nucleotide ribosomal RNA is filed under the name uncultured bacterium. RNAcentral describes it as "partial 16S ribosomal RNA". It matches the Rfam family "Bacterial small subunit ribosomal RNA", at positions 338 to 795 of the family's 1533-position model. The record is from RNAcentral.
CCUACGGGUGGCUGCAGUGGGGGAUAUUGCACAAUGGGGGAAACCCUGAUGCAGCGACGCCGCGUUAGUGAAGAAGUAUUUCGGUAUGUAAAGCUCUAUCAGCAGGGAAGAAAAUGACAGUACCUGACCAAGAAGCGCCGGCUAACUACGUGCCAGCUGCCGCGGUAAUACGUAGGGGGCAAGCGUUAUCCGGAUGUACUGGGUGCAAAGGGAGCGUAGACGGUUAUGUAAGUCUGGAGUGAAAGCCCGGGUCCUAACCCCGGUACUGCUUUGGAUACUGUGUAACUGGAGUACAGGAGGGGCAGGCGGAAUUCCUGGUGUAGCGGUGAAAUGCGUAGAUAUCAGGAGGAACGCCGGCGGCGAAGGCGGCCUGCUGGACUGAAACUGACGUUGAGGCUCGAAAGCGUGGGGAGCAAACAGGAUUAGAUACCCUGGUAGUC